Molecule: long non-coding RNA, 3441 nt
Organism: Phlebotomus papatasi
Lineage: Eukaryota; Metazoa; Arthropoda; Insecta; Diptera; Psychodidae
Exons: 2
Source: RefSeq, a predicted model, not a curated record
UUAAUUAUUCUUGAGGAAAUCUUCUUGCCUAAUUUUGUUGCAAGAAGUCUAAUAAAUAUAAAAAAUGCGAUAAUUGUGAUAAAUUUGUAAAACUUGCAGGUUUUUUUGAGAACAAAGGACAGUUCGUUAACAAACACUGAUAGAAAAUUGGAAAAUUUUUAUGUUUCUUUCAGUGACACUUAUGGUGAUCAAGUGGAAUGAAUUUUAGUGUCCGGAGGGCUUCGAAACAGCACACAAAUUGUCUGGAAGGCUACCUAGAACUUCUAGGGCCUUCUCCAGAGAAGUUAGAAUGGCAGAAUGACUAAGAAAAGCCUCCAAGAGCCCCAAAAUAGAUCCCAAAUAUGGUCUGCAUGCUCUCUUUUCCCGGACAAUUUUUCACACUAAAAAAAAACACAAGAAAAAAAAAAACAGUGAAAAUCACAGAAUUUUGCCACAAAUCUUUUCACUGGCCAAUUCUUUAAUAAUUUUUAAUGAACUUACUACGGAAAUUUGGUUACUUCCGUGCAAAAUUACGUGUAAAACAUCAACACAAAUGUUGCAAAAGAGCACUGUCCGCCAUCUUCUAUUUGACAACUGAACCGUCUUGGUGGAUUUCUUUGAGCAAAGCAAGCACUUUUUCAAGACAUUUUCCCGAGGAUUUUUCACGGACAAUAUAAAAAAUAAAUAGUCACAAAUGCUUCCAAAACUCUACAAUUUUCUAUUCCAAUUCAUAAAUCACCGAUUUUCCACAUCAUUUUCAUAAUUUUCCACGAAUUAUGAAAUAUUGCAAAAGUCGCUGGGAGACCCAUAUUUAGCACAUUUUUACUAUCAAAUCACGCCUUUUAACUAAUUCUGUGUCACUAAACUAAUUCUAAAACCUAUUUUCCAUAUAAAACCAUGAAUUUUUAUUGAAAUUUCGUUAAUUGAACUUGACAAAUUGGCUUUAAAAAGCAAUCUUGGCGACGAUUUUUUCAAAUGCUGGCGACUACCACUACAAAAGCAGAAAAACGACUUUUUCCUUUAGUGGUGGUUCCUCUGUCAUAUCACUUCUCCAUUGCUUCUUUGAAAAUCGAUUAAAAGAGCAAUGGCCCACUCUGUUCAAUGCUAUUUUAUUCAUUUGAUAAUCAUAAUCAAAUUUGAAAAAUGACAACAAACUUUUUUUCAAAUGUAAACUGCUGCCCGAAUUAAAAAGUAGCCCGAUCUUAAAAGAGCCGAAUUAGCGAGAGUCUAAUGUAUCUCAAGAAACAAAUUAGUUAGUCUUAAAAUCUGAAGAGGAGAAGAAGAAUAAAAGAUCUUACUAAGAAGAUAGCGAUAAACAGCGAUUUUACCUAAAAAAUAAAUAGUUUGAUAGUCGAAUCAAUCGUAAAUCGCCAUCGAUCGGAUUUAUUAAAACUUUAUUCGGUAACUUCAACGCUUUAGCACUAUUUUCAUACGAUCGACAUCGAUCUUUGUAAAAGAUCAACUUUGAUAAUUCCAAAAGAUCAAUGUACGACAUCAAUAUCUCUGAAAAAAUAACAAUAGGCCUUAAUCUUCUUAAAUGUCGUCACUGGUAAAGAUAAAAGGAUCAACUUUACAUAUCGAUCUUUACAAAAAAAUAAUUUUAAUAAUUCCGAAAGAUCGAUGAACAUCAAACUAUUCGAACUAUUUCCGAAUAGCAUUCCGGAAAUACUUGGUAAUUUUUCGAAAUAUUACCGAUUUUGACGAAGAUUUUACCGAUAAAUCAAUAGCGCUACGAUUAAGACAACAAUGAACAGUAAAAUUAAAGAACCUUUGGUAUACAAUCGGUAAAUUGAUAGUUGUAGUAAUGUAGUAUAAUUGCAUAUGAAGGAAUGGGAAUUGACAACUAUCUUUGGAAAAGGUGAGCUGAAUUAGCCAUUGGAAUCGAUGUGUAGUAAAAGAUCGGAGUUUGGCAUUGAUGGCGUUGAUAUAUCUGGAAAAAUCAAUAAUUGGCGGCGAUCUUCACGAGAGAUCAGUGAUUGGCAUCAAUUUUAUCGAAAAACCUAAACUUUCUGUUUACAAUGAUUUUAGGCAUCAUCGGUGCUAUCUAAAAAUAAAAAAAAAGAUGGCAAAGUAUCCCAGCUUUGCAAAAUGCCCGAACUUACGAGAUAGUUAUCCGUGAAUUAUCGUUCUGCAGGUUUUUUUUUAGGUCUAUGCAAGUUUAUUAACGAUUAACUUUAAAACAUAUUCGAAAAUCAUUAAAAAAGCUUAGGCCAAUUUUGAGAUAAAGCGAAAAACAUGGUUUUGUAGGGGAUUGAGGGAAAAAGAAAAAAGAUCGCGCGAGAUAAUGUUCACUAUGGGGGAAAGAGGGGGUCAUUGAAUACCGAAAGUUGAUGUCUCUUACCGUUUGACUUCUAACUAGGGAAUAAACUAAAGGGCAAGUAAAACAAAUAAUUUACGAAAAAAUUAUUCAAUUAUUGGCUCUUAACCGAUUCAUUACCGAUGCAGUCGGGUUCAGAAUUUCAAAACCUUUCCAAAAAAAAAAUCCAAAUUUAACCAAAUCGAUUAAAAUAAAUGAGCCCUCCAAAGUGAUUUAAUAAAUGUGAUUUUUGUUAUGACUAUCUUGAGACGGUCACAGCAAAUUUCAAAUUCUUAUACCAAAAGAGGCAUGGCUAAAACAUAUUUUUGGGCGGGGCUUCUCGUGAAAUCAAACCUUACCAUGUAAAAUGAAAUUUAAAAAAAAGAGGUAAUAUUUGAUAAAGAAAUGCCAAUAAUUCACUAAAUUGUUGUAAAGAUUUAAAGAAAAAACAAAAAAAAAUCUCGAAGCUCAUCUCGAACCACCAAGAAAACUAAUAAGAGAAAAAUCAACACAUUGAUAUUCCAAUAAGAGAUAAAUAAAGAAAAAAGAACAAUUGUAUAAGAAAUCCAAUAUUGCUGGUAUUUUAUAGGAAGAGAAAGGAAAAUAAGAUGAAAAUAUUGCUAUAAUAUUUAAAUAAAAAAAAAGUAUAAAUCAAAUAACCUAAAAAACUAUAUACAUAAAAAAUAUUAAAUAUUUGUAGAUUUAAAGUUAAAUACUAAGAGUUUCAGAGAUGGAUUAAAUGUGAAUCAAGAAGGAUGCAAAAUUCGUGAAUAUUCCACAAAUUUUUGGUGAAUAUUGUGCGAAUAUUGUGAAUAUAUUUCUUCCUCUUGGUGUGAAUAUUUUCUUGCAGAAAAAAAACAAACUCCUUGCGUUCUCAAGAGAAGACAGUAAUGAAUGUUUUCUUACCUUGAGAAGACAACAAUUUUAUUCGCCAAAAUGGAACACAAACAAUUUUUCCUAUCCUUUCCCACUUCUGAAAUGUAAGAAGAAUCCACAGAGCAACCAAUAGCCAGAUCUCUAGAGAGAUCGUGAAAAUCCUCUCCGGAAAAAAUAAAUGAAAAUACCGAUGAUAACAUAAACCUGUGUAUUGCGUAUUUUUUGUAAUAAUACAAUUAGUAAUUAUAUAUAAAAUAAAUGUUUUACAGGAUGCCUAUCCCGAUAAGAUA